UCCGGCGAUCAUACCGGAGGGGUUCCACCCGUUCCCAUCCCGAACACGGUAGUUAAGCCCUCCAGGGCCCAUGGUACUGCACGGGGGACCGUGUGGGAGAGUCGGUCGUCGCCGGGA
This 117-nucleotide ribosomal RNA is filed under the name Terriglobia bacterium. The record is from RNAcentral. Lineage: Bacteria; Pseudomonadati; Acidobacteriota; Terriglobia.